UAAGCUAAGAAAGAAGCUACGAAAAAUAAAACGUGCUCAGCAACACGCUGCUUUUUGUGCGGAGUUUAACCCACAUUGCGACGCAGGAGGUUCAGAACUACUUAACUGGAACCGUCCAUCUUCAAGUGGUCUUUGUGCUUGUUGAAGCUUCGGAGCCUAGUUAUCUUGGUUUACCUUAGCUUAGCUUAGCUUAGCUUCCGAACAGGAAAAACGUGGUUCGUCGCUUGAAAAUCAAGUGGGAGCCUCCUAAAGUGUGCAAAAUGCGAGCAAGAAGGACGCCAGCCGAAAAUUUAGAGGCGGAACUUUGUGGUGCGAAACAUCAGCGACAACAUCAACUAUCGAAUGCUUGCAAAAUGCAAGUAAAAGUUGUUCUUCGCAGGCUACCAGAUCUAUAUGUCAGCCAAGACCAUCGUCCUGAGCACCAAGAGUCUGCAUGCAUCAAAGAGGAGGAAGAGUCCAGACCCAUCCAAGCUUUCGGAAAAUGUCUUUGUGCUGAGCGGCAGGAGCCAGAAUCUCCUGGCGUUAAAGAGCAUGUUGAGCUCCCCCAAAUCAAAGAGGAGGAGGAGCCAGAGCCCCAUCUACAGAAGCAACUUCCAAUCAAAAAGGAGGAAAAGGAGGAGCUGUCAUAUGUUAAAGACGAGGAAGGUAUCACCGGGGCAAUUGGUGAGCCCUUGAAGAGUGAAGAUAGUCUGAGUGAGGCCAGCAGAGGGGCAAAUCCUCCGAGUGGCGGCAGCAGCUUAACAGAAAGAUUGCAAGCAGACAUUUUCAUCGCUCGAUCAGAUAGAAAUGGCGGCAAGUCACACUCACCGUACAAUAAUGAUGGUUAUAAGAAAUCUCGCCGUGACGACAAACUCUGCAAAUGCUCUAAGUGUGGGAAAACCUUUGCUAAUAAGUAUACUUGUCGUACGCAUAUGAGGAGCCACACUGGUGAAAAACCUUUUUCCUGCUCAGCUGGUGGUCAAGGUUUUACUGAAAAGCAAAAUUUACAAAUACACAUAAGAACCGAAACUGGAGAAAAACCUUUUUCCUGCUCAGAUUGUGGUCAAAGAUUCAAUCGCAAGUCCACCUUAAAAAUACACGAAAGAACCCACACCGGAGAAAAACCUUUUUUCUGCUCAGAUUGUGGUCAAAGAUUCAAUCGCAAGUCCACCUUAAAAAUACACGAAAGAACCCACACCGGAGAAAAACCUUUUUCCUGCCCAGUUUGUGGCAAAAGAUUCACGCAAAACCAACACUUGAAAAAACACACAAGAACCCACACUGGCGAAAAACCUUUUUCGUGCUCAGUUUGUGGUCAAAGAUUCGCUCGAAAGCCAUACUUGGACAUACACACAAGAACACACACGGGAGAAAAACCUUUUUCCUGCACAGUUUGUGGUCAAAGAUUCGCUCAAAGGCAACACUUGAAAAUACACACAAGAACCCACACUAGCGAAAAACCUUUUUCCUGCUCAGUUUGUGGUCAAAGAUUCACGCGAAAGCCAAAUUUGGACAUACACACAAGAACACACACGGGAGAAAAACCUUUUUCCUGCUCAGUUUGUGGUCAAAGAUUCGCUCAAAAGACAUACUUGAAAAUACACACAAGAGCCCACACUGGGGAAAAACCCUUUUCCUGCUCAGUUUGUGGUCAAAAUUUCGCUCGGAAGGACUACUUAAAUCAACACACACGAACCCACACUAGAGACAAACCUUUUUCCUGCUCUUUUUGUGGUCAAAGAUUCACUCGCAAGUCCACCUUACACAUACACGAAAGAACCCACACCGGAGAAAAACCUUUUUUCUGCUCAGAUUGUGGUCAAAGAUUCAAUCGCAAGAGAGCCUUAAAAAGACACGAAAGAUCCCACACUGGUGACGAACCUUUUUCCUGCUCUUUCUGUGGUCAAAGAUUCAGUCAUAAGAACACCUUGCAAAUACACGAAAGAAUCCACGCCGGGGAAAAACUUUUUUCCUGCUCAGUUUGUGGUCAAGGAUUCACUCUGAAGGAUCAGUUGGAGAGACACAUGGCCAAUGAUAUUACAUUUUUGCAUCGUGGGAAAAUACUUUUUACUUUAAAAUCUUAAAGCGAGUACUUUUGUACUGAGAAUUUUUUUUUUCCACCUGUACACCAACUCAAAACUAUUUUAUUAUUUAGUCACAUUGGACUAUUAUGAACACAACCACCUACAGGGUCGGUUGUAGGCAGACCUGUAUGAGGGCAGUCAGAAAUGUGUAGGGGGCAUCAUAUGUUCAUAUCAUGCUCGCCACUUUCACACGUACUACCCGGUUUAUGCCUGGGACAUUUCCCCAUGUGUGAAAGCAGUGACACGGCUAAAUCCCGCGUCACUUUAUACUAAGUCUUCAGUCUUAAGGUGUCAUCCAGAUUUUAUAAACUAACAACAUACACUCACCGACCACUUUAUUAGGUACACCAUGCUAGUAACGGGCUGGACCCCUUUUGCCUUCAGAACUGCCUCAAUUCUUCGUGGCAUAGAUUCAACAAGGUGCUGGAAGCAUUCCUCAGAGAGUUUGGUCCAUAUUGACAUGAUGGCAUCACACAGUUGGUGCAGAUUUGUCGGCUGCACAUCCAUCAUGCGAAUCUCCCGUUCCACCACAUCCCAAAGAUGCUCUAUUGGAUUGAGAUCUGGUGACGGUGGAGGCCAUUUGAGUACAGUGAACUCAUUGUCAUGUUCAAGAAACCAGUCUGAGAUAAUUCCAGCUUUAUGACAUGGCGCAUUAUCCUGCUGAAAGUAUCCAUCAGAAGUUGGGUACACUGUGGUCAUAAAGGGAUGGACAUGGUCAGCAACAAUAAUCAGGUAGGCUGUGGCAUUACAACGAUGCUCAAUUGGUACCAAGGAGUCCAAAGAGUGCCAAGAAAAUAUUCCCCACACCAUUCCUCCACCACCACCAGCCUGAACCGUUGAUACAAGGCAGGAUGGAUCCAUGCUUUCAUGUUGUCGAUGCCAAAUUCUGACCCAACCAUCCGAAUGCAGAAAUCUGCUUUUUUCCAAUCUUCUAUUGUCCAAUUUCGAUUAGCUUGUGCAAAUUGUAGCCUCAGUUUCCUGUUCUUAGCUGAAAGGAGUGGCACCCGGUGUGGUCUUCUGCUGCUGUAGCCCAUCUGCCUCAAAGUUCGACAUACUGCGCAUUUAGAGAUGCUCUUCUGCCUACCUUGGUUGUAACGGGUGGUUAUUUGAGUCACUGUUGCCGUUCUAUCAGCUCGAACCAGUCUGGCCAUUCUCCUCUGACCUCUGGCAUCAACAAGGCAUUUCCGCCCACAGAACUGCCGCUCACUGGAUAUUUUUUCUUUUUCGGACCAUUCUCUGUAAACCCUAGAGAUGGUUGUGCGUGAAAAUCCCAGUAGAUCAGCAGUUUCUGAAAUACUCAGACCAGCCCUUCUGGCACCAACAACCAUGCCACGUUCAAAGUCACUCAAAUCACCUUUCUUCCCCAUACUGAUGCUCUGUUUGAACUGCAGGAGAUUGUCUUAAACCAUGUCUACAUGCCUAAAUGCACUGAGUUGCCGCCAUGUGAUUGGCUGAGUAGAAAUUAAGUGUUAACGAGCAGUUGGAGUGGUGUACCUAAUAAAGUGGCCGGUGAGUGUAUAUAUUAACUGGAUGACCUAAUGCUCAAAUAAAUUGGAACCUGAGAACUGAAAGGUAGUCUUAUAAAUAAUAUUGAAAAAAAUACUUUGUAAACUAAUUAGAUAUACUAACUAAACAGAACUUUUUUGGGGGGCGGGGGGGCUUUUUUUUUGUUAGCAAAAAAAUUGUUCAAAAAUCUCCCUUCACUCCACUCGACAACAAGUCUCCUACUUCCCUUUGCAAAAACUCACAAAUUUAUCCAUGUCCAAGUUGUUAAGGACUUCUCAUGGGCCAAGAUUAUCAUAUGUCUUCAGUCUGUCACUUGAAGUGGACACUGACUUAUUUCUGUGCUUGUUGUGACUAGUGUUGUUAAUCUUACUUUGAAAAAGUAAUUAGUUACAAAUGACUUGUCCCAAAAAGUAAUUGAGUUAGUAACUGUUACCUAAACCUAAGAGUACCGUAAUCGCCCGAAGAUUGCCCUGAUUAUAUGACGACCCCCUCUUUUUCAAGACUAAAGUUUGAAAAUACACUUUUUGAACACCAAAUUCAUUUUUAUACAGAAAAUAAUUACAUCUGAAAGUUCAAACAAAUGAUUAUAACAAUAUAUUUGAGAGAAAAAGCAUGUUAUUUUGCUUCAUUCAAAUCUUAAUAUCUGAACAUUUGAAUAUGUAAACUAAAGUGCAAUCACAUUCGUAAAUUAAUGGCUUCUGGUUUAUGAAAUAUAAAUAAACCAACCUACUGUGAUAAAACAACAAAAUUGCAAUAACUGCAUUAACCAUAAGGGGUUCGCUUUGGCCUGUGGAGUCAAAUUCAGCAUUCGCUUCAAUGAUAUCUGGCGCCAUCUAGCGUCGUGAAUGGGUAUAAUGUCUGGACCCCAAAUAUAAGACGACUCCUGCUUUUUCAGUCUUAUUUCAAUGGUAAAAACACCGUUUUAUAUUCGGGCCAAUACGGUAAUUAGUUACUUGGCAAAGUAACUGACGUUACUUUUCAUGUUCUUCACAUUAUUAUUAUUAUUAUUAUUAUUAUUUUAAUUUUAUCUUUACUUUAUCAGGCAGUCUCAUUGAGAUUAAUAUCUCUUUUACAAGAGAGGCCUGAGCACAAAGAAACAUUCACAAAUAUCAAACAAUUCGAAAUACACUAACGGAAACCGUUACAAUAAUCAGUACAAACAUCAGACAAAAGAGAUUUUAAAUCACCAAGAUGAAUGAUUGGCUCUAGUUUAAGAGUAGUUUGCAAUUCGUUCCAUUUAAGAGGAGCAUUUAAAGCCAGUUCUGCCACCAUUAGUGCAAGUGAAUGGAAUGUUUAGGGUUAAGUAGUUGGAUGAUCAUGUUUUGUAGUUACUGGAUUAGAAUGACAGGAGAGAUGUGAGGUAGUUCGGAAGUUUGCACAGUAAAGCCUUAUAAAUGAAUAACAUGAUAUGGAUAUUUCUUCUUGACUGUAGUGAGGACCAAACAACGUUUUGAUAAAGGGUACAAUUAUGAGUGUAGAAAUUGUCAUUGGUGAUGAAACGUAGUGCACUGUGAUAGACCGGGUUUAACUUUUGAAGAGUUGAUGGAGCUGCAUGACAGUACAGGAUGUCCCCAUAAUCGAGAACAGAAACAAAAGAAGAUAAUACAAUGGUUUUUCGGUUAGAAGUUGACAGCCUUUGAUUCUAUACUGGAAGCUAAGUUUAAAUUUAAGUUUACGGAUUAUAUGAUGAAUAUGACUUUUCAAUGAUAAAUUACUGUAAAUCCAAAUUCCUAAGUAUUUGUAUGAAUCAUUGAGAAUACCAUUUAGGGUUUUGAUUCCGGGUAAGUCAUUGUCAGUUAUAGUGGAAGUGGAGAAAACCAUGUAUUUAAUUUUUUCAGCAUUUAAAACUAAUCUGUGAUUAUGAAGAGAUAUUUGAAAGCUAUCAAAAGCAGUCUGUAAAUGAGUCAGAGCUAGUGAUGGGGAAGAACCGGGCACAUAUAGAAUACAAUCAUCAGCAAAAAAGUGGACAUAAAAUAUUGAUUAGGAAGAAAAAAUUAUUAAUGUAUAAUGUAAAAAGGAGUGGUCCAAGGACAGACCCCUGCGGCACGCCAUUUUUAAUAGUAAGUGGACUUGAUUGAACACCGUCAGAAGCAACAGUGUCGCGUUCUGCUGCUUGUCAGAAUUUGUUUUUCUUGCAGAGCCGGCUGUGGGGGCAUGCCGACGUCGCACCUGCAGCUAAUCCCUGCUCGUCAGCUACAGUAUAUAAACGCAGGCUAUCCGGGAGAAGAACGCCAUGAUAUUUCCCUAGCUGGUCGCCAUUAACACGUACUGCUUUCGAGUCGCUUUGUAUUUGCCUUCUAGUUCUUCGGACAUCUUAGUUUUUGAUCCCCUACCUUUUGCAGGUAUUGAGUGUAUUUUUGUUUGUCUUUUUGGCUCUCUGCCCUCCGCUCAGUUUUCGCGGUUUGAUCCCCGUUUGACCUAUUUGUCACGGACCCCUUUUGUUAUUCCCUUUUUACCGCGUUCGCGUGUUUUGUUUAUUUAUGAUCAAUAAAUCCCCGAAUGCUUCCCCUCUGUUGUCUGUUGUUGGGUUCAAUCUUGUUCUCCGCAUUCGCGGAUCCUGACAAACAGUUUGUAUUCUGUCUGUAAGGUAGGACUUAAACCAGUUGAGGACAUUAACGUCUAAACCUAUGGCCUGCAGUUUAUGAAGUAGAAUUUUAUGAUCAACGGUUGAAUGCUUUUGAAAGCUCAAUGAAAAGAGCAGCACAGAACUGUUUAUUAUCAAGAAAGGAGACAAUGUUAUUUAGGACAGAAACUGAAGCUGUAAUUGUACUGUGACCUGGGCGAAAACCAGACUGUUGCGGCUGAAGUAUGUUUGAAUGAAUGAAUGAUAAAAACGGAAGCUUGGAUA
This is an RNA transcript of Corythoichthys intestinalis (scribbled pipefish), 6417 nucleotides long. It is a transcript of the gene named gastrula zinc finger protein XlCGF57.1-like, with no coding region annotated. Lineage: Eukaryota; Metazoa; Chordata; Actinopteri; Syngnathiformes; Syngnathidae. The transcript has 4 exons. The record is from RefSeq and is a predicted model, not a curated record.